CAUCUGGGGGAUCGCUCGGCUCGAGAACCGAAGAAGGUCGUGACAAGCUGCGAUAAGUUGCGGGGAGACGCAUGAGUGUCUAGGAUCCGCAAAUAGCUGAAUGGGACUUCCUAUCCCUUAGGGGAUAAUCGCAAUAGCGAUAGGGAACCCCCCGAAUUGAAGCAUCUUAGUAGGGGGAGGAAAAGAAAUCAAUUGAUACUCCGUGAGUAGUGGCGAACGAAAACGGACUAGGACAAACCGAAUCUCGACUGGAAACUGAGAGACAUGUGGUGCGACCAUUUAUUGCCUAAAUCACUGAAAUAGAAAUCGUCUGGAACGACAUAGCCAUAGAGGGUGAAAGUCCCGUAUAUGUAGGUGACAUGGCCACGUAAUGAGUCAGGAGUAGCAUGCGUUGGAUAUCGCGUGUGAAGACGGGAGGCAGGAACUUCCAAUCCUAAGUAUAUCUCGAGACCGAUAGUUUACAAGUAACGUGAGUGAAAGCUGAAAAGAAUCCUUAGCGGGAUGUGAAAAGAACGUGA
This 518-nucleotide ribosomal RNA is filed under the name Methanobacteriota archaeon. RNAcentral describes it as "bacterial LSU rRNA". It matches the Rfam family "Archaeal large subunit ribosomal RNA", at positions 19 to 543 of the family's 2987-position model. The record is from RNAcentral. Lineage: Archaea; Methanobacteriati; Methanobacteriota.